This 20-nucleotide microRNA is filed under the name Schmidtea mediterranea. RNAcentral describes it as "sme-miR-2162-5p". The record is from miRBase by way of RNAcentral. Lineage: Eukaryota; Metazoa; Platyhelminthes; Tricladida; Dugesiidae.
UGUGCUUAUUUGUAUAUUGC